UUCCAGCUCCAAUAGCGUAUAUUAAAGUUGUUGCAGUUAAAAAGCUCGUAGUUGAAUUUCGGGGUUAGUAGGCUGGUCAUGCCUCCGGUAUGUACUGGUCUCACUGAUUCCUCCUUCCUGAUGAACCGUAAUGCCAUUAAUUUGGUGUUGCGGGGAAUCUGGACUGUUACUUUGAAAAAAUUAGAGUGUUUAAAGCAAGCUAACGCUUGAAUACAUUAGCAUGGAAUAAUGAAAUAGGACGUUCGAUCUUAUUUUGUUGGUUUCUAGGAUUGACGUAAUGAUUAAUAGGGAUAGUUGGGGGCAUUAGUAUUCAAUUGUCAGAGGUGAAAUUCUUGGAUUUAUUGAAGACUAACUACUGCGAAAGCAUUUGCCAAGGAUGUUUUCAUUAAUCAAGAACGAAAGUUAGGGGAUCGAAGACGAUCAGAUACCGUCGUAGUCUUAACCAUAAACUAUGCGACUAGGGAUCGG
Molecule: ribosomal RNA, 468 nt
Filed under: uncultured Glomus
Lineage: Eukaryota; Fungi; Glomeromycota; Glomeromycetes; Glomerales; Glomeraceae
Description: SSU rRNA
Rfam family: Eukaryotic small subunit ribosomal RNA
Source: RNAcentral